This 59-nucleotide transfer RNA is filed under the name Thermophis zhaoermii. Its description in RNAcentral is "tRNA-Cys". Lineage: Eukaryota; Metazoa; Chordata; Lepidosauria; Squamata; Dipsadidae. The record is from RNAcentral.
GGCCCCGAGGUGUGAACAUGUCAGACUGCAAAUCUGAAGUUGGCUGCUGCCCGGGGCUU